Molecule: small nucleolar RNA, 135 nt
Organism: Electrophorus electricus (electric eel)
Lineage: Eukaryota; Metazoa; Chordata; Actinopteri; Gymnotiformes; Gymnotidae
Gene: SNORA70
Rfam family: Small nucleolar RNA SNORA70
About the family: snoRNA U70 seems to be exclusive to mammals and is a member of the H/ACA class of snoRNA which contain H (ANANNA) and ACA box motifs. H/ACA box snoRNAs are involved in the conversion of uridines to pseudouridines (5-ribosyluracil) a constituent of structural RNAs (transfer, ribosomal, small nuclear, and small nucleolar).
Source: Ensembl
CUGCAGCUUAUUAAGCCGACCAGUCUGGUUGUCGGUGCUAUUCUGGUGUGCAAAGGCUGCAGACAGUAACUCUUUGGUUUGUGUAUGUGCCCAGCUGGGAAGUGCUGGGUCCUUAAAGGGACCACUGAGACAAAG